AUCAUCCAUUUUCGACGCUUUGAUUCCUUCCUAUCUGUAACUAACAACCUCAACAUUUUUACUCUGCUUCAACUUCCGCCACCGAUCUUUGCUGCUUCACAUUUCUGCUCCCGUUUGCUACAGAACAAGCAGCUUCAACUCUUUCGAUCGAUGGACCUUUUUCUCAGGUUUCAAGCUGGUAUAUUUACAUUUGUUUGCAGUUUCGGAUGAUGAGUUGAUUUGUGUUCUUUAACUGGUGGUAUAGAUUCUUCAAGUCUGGCUUUGUUUUUUUACCAGCUGGUCAUGAAUCCUGAUUCUUUUUUCCCUUCGAUUUGAAGAUCGGAAAUGCAUUUAUAAUCUGAAGCUUGUAAUUUUGUACGGUCGCUUGGGAUAUUGACGGAGAGUUGAAGGCAGAACGGAUUUGGAAACUAACUACGGUAAGUAAAUCUUCAUAGUCAGGUUAUCAAUUGAAUUCGCAGUAGAACCUUAAGUUGAUUUCAACCUGCCAGCUUAUGAUCGAUAGAUUUCAGGGAUUGUUGAGAUUCGAACAUCCCGACUAGCCAUAAUGACGAUUAAGAGCAUUUGAUAUUCUCGAAGGCAAUGAAAGAGCUUCACAGGUACACACUUUCCAUCUUUUCUUUCUUGAGGUUUGUGUCUCAAUCUUGUUUUCUUAAUAGUAUUUGUUGGUUAAUCUUGAAUGCCAAAUGAUUCUGUGUUUUUAAAAAGGUUUAUCAAGCAUUCAUAAGCAGACAUAAGUUGAUAUUGUAGAGAUUAGACAGAAACAGUUUCUUUUCAUUAGAUGGUGAUGAUCGGAAUUACAACCAAGUUAACAAGACAACUACAAGGGAAGAGUUUUUUCCAUAUUGACUAAAACCCGCCCGGCAAAGGAAAAAAAAGACCAGGGAAGAUUAAAAAGGACUGAAAUUGAAAACUAGUUCCAGCUCUGACUUUGAAAAUUAUAAGCUGGAACUCUAGUUACUUGCUUACUUCCUUUACUAGACACUUAUCUGUCCUGUCUAUUGACUCUAUGUAUGAGAUUAUCCACUACCGUCGUUCCCUCCUGUACUUGGUUCUUCAGUUGACUACCCCCCAGAUUUGGUUAAGAGAUCUACUUGAGCUAGACGACUUCCUCCACCUUGCUAACCGCAACAAAAAUGUCAAAACUUCGGAUGGAUCAACUAGGGAGUGAGAUGCCUUGGUUUCCUUAGGGCAGGAUGUUACUAUAAUCGGGUACCCUGUUCCUCUUCGUUGUAUUACCUGUGAUAAUAAAAAAUUCCAAGAUUUAACCAUUUUAGCAUCCUUGAAACAAUGCAGUAAGUUGUGGGUUUGUACUUCACAUACCUUGAAAGCAUCCUCAUCAGUUCGGUCAUCUCCAAUAUAGACUGGAAUAACGUCAGAGUUACUUAGUCCUAAUGUUUCUAAGAAAUAUUCCACAGCAUGACCUUUGUCCCACUCUAUUGUUGGCCUUAUUUCCAUAACCUAAGGGUAAAGAUAACAAGUGUUAGGGGUACUAGAUAGAAGGAUGUAAUUACUAAUAGUCUAAUACAGAUAGUUGCAGCUCAAUGGUGUUUGCGUUACCUUUUUACCCCAGCACAAGUGAAAGUCUGCAUACUUUUCCAGCACAGACUUAACUUUCUCCUCCAGAGAUGGAUAAUCCUGAAUUCGAAAACCAACCAUCGUCUUUAUUAGCCUACCAAUUUACAUUUCAUAUACGAACUCCUUAUAGUUAAAUAUAAAUUAUAGUGACAGAGUCAGGGGGUUAACCUCAUCAUUGACCUGCCGGAAAUGUACAGAGACGCAGAAGCGGUUAUCCUCCACCCUGGCACCUUUCACUUUUUCUGUUUCCUCCUCCAGCUCUUUCAAUAUCUAUUAAAAGAAUUGGAUAGAGUUAUAGCUAGGAUCAGAACAAUGGAUGCCGUCUAAUUUUAAAGACAUCAUCAAUAUCUUAAGCGUUCUGUUUUAGCUUUUUUACCUUCUCAAUUGUGGGCAAAAAUCUCUUUGCAGGUUGGAAGAGCACUUCAGUUCCCUGACAAAUUGAGCAGAGGCAGAGGCAUGUAAUUGAUUCGAAAUCACAAUCUUGUUUUGAAAGAGGACAUGGAAAAUCCUCUGGUUCUACUCACCUUUUUGUCCAUUACCAAAGUUGGGGAAUGGCCGUCACAAGACUUAACCGGCC
This 2152-nucleotide long non-coding RNA is filed under the name Linum usitatissimum (flax). RNAcentral's name for it is "long non-coding RNA (LUSI_LNC005353)". Lineage: Eukaryota; Viridiplantae; Streptophyta; Magnoliopsida; Malpighiales; Linaceae. The record is from RNAcentral.